UGUCGCAGAGGCCGCGGCGUGCGCGGAGGGGAGCUCUUUCUCUCCGCAUUGUGCGGAGAGCAGGUGCUGUCUGCAUUACCAUACAGCUGAACGCACAAAGAGCCACUGAUUCAGCCUCGCACAAUAACAGACUGCCUUAAUGACAGCCACGCGAACGACACACACCAAACUCACUUUUUACCAAGCAGAGAGAGGCCUGAGGGGAAUUACCCAGGAGAGUGGGGCCGGACACCAGUGAAGGGAAUACGCUGCCUGGACCAGGAUUCCCGUUUCCAGUGAUCGCGGACAACACGGAGAUACCGGGGCUCCAGGACACUGCAGUCUCAGGGGGCGCCCCGCCGGGAUCGCGAGUCUAUCGGCGCUCACCCUCUCGGAGGUUCAGCCGCCAUCCUCCACCAGAGUCCCCAGGACCGAACAACCGAGGAGAGCCUAGGCGGCCAGCGUUGGAGACGUGAGUGUCCGGAGGCCGCGUCCUGCGCGCGAGGCUAGCGGUGACCGCGGGUGGGAGGCGCAGGCCGCCCAGCGUGCCUAGGGUCUUCCGGCCUGUGGCGGUGGGGCGGUGGGAGACGCGGCGUCAGCUCCAGCUCCAGGAGCAGAAGCGGUUCGUCGCAGCGAACAUUUUGCAGGAAUGUAAA
Molecule: long non-coding RNA, 635 nt
Organism: Arvicola amphibius (Eurasian water vole)
Lineage: Eukaryota; Metazoa; Chordata; Mammalia; Rodentia; Cricetidae
Exons: 3
Source: RefSeq, a predicted model, not a curated record